RNAcentral lists this small RNA (89 nucleotides) under Enterococcus hirae ATCC 9790. RNAcentral's name for it is "RNA anti-toxin A". It matches the Rfam family "RNA anti-toxin A". Lineage: Bacteria; Bacillati; Bacillota; Bacilli; Lactobacillales; Enterococcaceae. The record is from Rfam by way of RNAcentral.
UAAUGAUAAUGAAAAAGGAGCUAUGCGUCAACAUAGCCCCUAUGUAGAACCGUUAAAAAGACGGUGACUGUUAUAAUACGGAUUUAACC